CCGCUAGAGGAGGCCAUUACGAUCACACUCUAGGGAUCUCAUAGUGAGAGGCUCAGGAAGUGGAGAAAGGAAACAGGGAAAAGUGAAGGACUUCAAGCUGUUGUCCAAUUUGUUGCUUUCUCUGAGUUGGCGCCCAAACCCUUUCAGGGUGCUUUACGUCCCACCCAAGGCAAGAGGAACGCCAGCGAGGAAGACAAAGAGGCCCGGGGUGGGGCGCAUGCCCUCCACUGGUCUGAAAGCUGAGUCACAGGAAUCGUACCCCUGCAGCCGGCCAGCCUGUCCAGCGAGAGACCCCGCGCCCUUGUGUGGAGAUGUCCACAGUAGACAAAGGCAGUUUCGCAAUAAAAGAAUGCCUGUCACCCUAGGUGCCACCCCGACCCUUAGUUAUUAUGCACUGGUCCCCAAGAGCAAUUUUUGCGCUGCUGUUGCAAAAAUUCAUCGUAAUGAAAUAAACGUAA
Long non-coding RNA from Rhinopithecus roxellana (golden snub-nosed monkey), 458 nucleotides. RefSeq lists it as uncharacterized. The record is from RefSeq and is a predicted model, not a curated record. Lineage: Eukaryota; Metazoa; Chordata; Mammalia; Primates; Cercopithecidae. The transcript is spliced from 3 exons.